Molecule: ribosomal RNA, 540 nt
Filed under: uncultured bacterium
Lineage: Bacteria
Description: bacterial SSU rRNA
Rfam family: Bacterial small subunit ribosomal RNA
Source: RNAcentral
UAGGGAAUAUUGGUCAAUGGAUGCAAGUCUGAACCAGCCAUGCCGCGUGCAGGAAGAAGGCCUUCUGGGUUGUAAACUGCUUUUGCCGGGGGAUAAAAUUCCCAUGCGUGGGACAUUGAAGGUACCCGGUGAAUAAGCCACGGCUAACUACGUGCCAGCAGCCGCGGUAAUACGUAGGUGGCAAGCGUUGUCCGGAUUUAUUGGGUUUAAAGGGUGCGUAGGCGGCCUAUUAAGUCAGUUCUGAAAUAUCCCGGCUUAACCGGGAGGGUGGGAUUGAUACUGAUGGGCUUGAGUGGAGUCGAGGUAGGCGGAAUUGACGGUGUAGCGGUGAAAUGCUUAGAUAUCGUCAAGAACACCGAUAGUGUAGACAGCUUACUAGACUUCAACUGACGCUGAGGCACGAAAGUGUGGGGAUCAAACAGGAUUAGAUACCCUGGUAGUCCACACUGUAAACGUUGAUUACUCGCUGUGUGCGAUAUACAGUACGCGGCUUAGCGAAAGCGAUAAGUAAUCCACCUGGGGAGUACGCCGGCAACGGUG